Triticum dicoccoides is the source of this 545-nucleotide long non-coding RNA. RefSeq lists it as uncharacterized. The record is from RefSeq and is a predicted model, not a curated record. The transcript has 3 exons. NCBI's taxonomy places the organism in Eukaryota, Viridiplantae, Streptophyta, Magnoliopsida, Poales, Poaceae.
UCUGAGCGCUCGUGCUGCUCGCCCUCCCGUCGCCGUCCUCGUCUAGUUCUCCUCCUAUCUCACUGGCCGUCGCCGGACGCCAUGGAUGGUGCAUGCUAGUGGGCUAAUUCCCUCAAGCAUCCCCACAAAAUGGAAACAACUCUGCAUCUUCUGAUCCAAAAAUCAAGUCAAAAGUUCAAACUUCGGCCCUGUUCGGCGGACGUCCACUCCCCGCUUUCCAACUCCCAGCUCCAUCCAAAAGCGGAGCACACGGAGCGGCACUUUUGCAACUCUGAAAAAGUGGCCUACAAGCCGCUCCGCUCCACUCUAAGAGAGGCAUGGAGCCAGCGCGUUCGGUGCCACUCUGCAGCUCCUCCAGCCGCUCCAGGAGCUGAGCUGCGGAGCGGAGGCCUGCCGAACAGGCACUUCACCUUGAUUGCAAGAACUAUUUCUGAAGAUAGCUACUCGGUCAUCUAAAAUUUCAACACAGUUUCUCAUUCAAAUUUCAAGGUACAAUCCAAUUUUAUUUUCUUAUAUCAUAAUAAAUGAUAAGCUUAUAACUCAUG